GAUGAACGCUGGCGGCGUGCCUAAUACAUACAAGUCGAGCGAACGGACGAGAAGCUUGCUUCUCUGAUGUUAGCGGCGGACGGGUGAGUAAUACGUGGAUAACUUACCUAUAAGAAUGGGAUAACUUAGGGAAACCGGAGCUAAUAUAGGAUAAUAUUUUGAACCGCAUGGUUCAAAAGAGAAAGAGGGUUUUGAUGUCACUUAUAGAUGGUACCGCGCUGCAUUAGCUAGUUGGUAAGGUAACGGCUUACCAAGGCAACGAUGCGUAGCCGACCUGAGAGGAUGAUCAGCCACACUGGAACUGAGACACGGUCCAGACUCCUACGGGAGGCAGCAGUAGGGAAUCUUCCGCAAUGGGCGAAAGCCUGACGGAGCCACGCCGCGUGUGUGAUGAAGGUCUUCGGAUCGUAAAACUCUGUUAUUUGGGAAGAACAUAUGUAUGAUUAUCUGUUCACGUCUUGACGUUACCUAAUCAGAAAGCCACGGCUAACUACGUG
RNAcentral lists this ribosomal RNA (497 nucleotides) under uncultured bacterium. RNAcentral's name for it is "partial 16S ribosomal RNA". It matches the Rfam family "Bacterial small subunit ribosomal RNA", at positions 28 to 507 of the family's 1533-position model. The record is from RNAcentral.